GAUGAACGCUAGCGGUAUGCUUAACACAUGCAAGUCGUACGGGAGUUUUUAACUCAAGUGGCGGACGGGGUGAGUAACACGUGAGAAUUUACCUUUAGGAGGGGGAUAACAAUUGGAAACGAUUGCUAAUACCCCAUAUGCUUUUUUAAGUGAAACGGAUUUAUUCGCCUAAAGAAAAGCUCGCGGCUAGAUUAGCUAGUUGGUAAGGUAAUGGCUUACCAAGGCGACGAUCAGUAUCUGGUUUGAGAGGAUGAUCAGACACACUGGAACUGAGACACGGUCCAGACUCCUACGGGAGGCAGCAGUGGGGAAUUUUCCGCAAUGGGCAAAGCCUGACGGAGCAA
RNAcentral lists this ribosomal RNA (344 nucleotides) under uncultured bacterium. RNAcentral's name for it is "bacterial SSU rRNA". It matches the Rfam family "Bacterial small subunit ribosomal RNA", at positions 28 to 394 of the family's 1533-position model. The record is from RNAcentral.